CAUUGCUUAGUGUCAAAUUCUGGCGACCCAGAGAGGACCAUAGCCUCUGCCCGUGGCUGGUUGACUUGGAGGAGGCUGUUUGGGGAUUUUUCCCUGCAUCUGCCAGGUGGCUUUUUCCGCCUGGGGAAUUUCCCUUUGGCUUCCUCGCUUGCCGACUGCCUCUAACGCUUCAGUGAUUGGGAAAGGAAGAACCGGAUCAACUAGAUCGUAAACUGAAGAGCUUACAUCUGCAGGUAGGCCAGCUAGAAAUGCAAGUGCUGCCGGAACAUCAUCUUCAUGGUUCCAGAUGGCCCUGCUAGGUGUUCAAACACCACUGCUGGACCCACUGCCAUUGGAUCUUCAAGGAGCCGACCUGAUUUGCUGAACUGCCCGUGGGAAGAACCGGACUUGGAACUCUUCACAGUUGGCAGCAGCUUCACGGAUCAAGGUCUGCAUAUCUGUCUGAUGUCCCUCUAUAUGCCUUCCAGCCUGGUGAUCAUGUUUUGCUAAAAAUUUGGAAAGACCAGGGACCCAAAAACCAGUUGUCACCCAAACAGACAGGCCCUUCUGAGAUUCUUCUCACCGCUCACUCAUCGGUAGAACUUACAGGUGUAAAACCCUGGAUACAUCACUCCCAGAUCGGGGUGGCCCCCAAAUCCCAGGAAAGUAUCCCACAUGUAUCAAGGGGAAAAUGGGUGGUGGAACCCCUUGGAGAGCUAAAAUAGAUCUUUCACAGUUAACUCUUUUCCAUGCUAUGGUCCCCCUAUGACGUCCUGAUUUAGCAGGAAGUAGCCAGAGAAAGUACAACGCCCUAUCUCCCCCUUGACCAUAAGAUUAUGGGUUACUACUAACAGGGGGGAAAUUGUAAGUGAGCAAAAGUGAAGCCAUCUUGUUUUGUUAAAUGGCCCCAGCCCCUCAUCUGUGUGACUACUCACUGCUCUGCACAUACCUUAAAAAAUUCACAUGUUCUCCUGAUUUAUGGCCUCUGCUUACGUAUGUACUCCCUGAAACCUUGAUAAAUUAAAACUUUGUUCUAUGAGUUUCUCUCCAGGAACAGGCUGGCCACAGGUGGGAAACACACCUACAAUGUAUCCAUCACAGCUGAGAGAAGAAUAGAACAAUGUGAUGCCUGGAGCCCGUCAUGCCUGGAGACCAGCAUCCCUGAACCCCUUCUCAUUGCCCAUUUUCCCUAUAUAACUGCCUUGAGAUUCUGUAAACCUGGAAGAUGGGUUUUUGAGACAUUAGUCACUCAUCUUCUGAUUAGCCAGCUAAUCUAAUUAAACUU
This is a long non-coding RNA of Equus quagga, 1264 nucleotides long. RefSeq lists it as uncharacterized. The transcript has 4 exons. Lineage: Eukaryota; Metazoa; Chordata; Mammalia; Perissodactyla; Equidae. The record is from RefSeq and is a predicted model, not a curated record.